GCCUGGGUGGCUCAGUCGGUUGAGCGUCUGACUUUGGCUCGGGUCACGAUCUCGCGGUUCGUGGGUUCGAGCCCCGCGUCGGGCU
This 85-nucleotide transfer RNA is filed under the name Felis catus (domestic cat). It matches the Rfam family "tRNA". Rfam says of the family: Transfer RNA (tRNA) molecules are approximately 80 nucleotides in length. Their secondary structure includes four short double-helical elements and three loops (D, anti-codon, and T loops). The record is from Rfam by way of RNAcentral. Lineage: Eukaryota; Metazoa; Chordata; Mammalia; Carnivora; Felidae.